Molecule: long non-coding RNA, 783 nt
Organism: Chenopodium quinoa (quinoa)
Lineage: Eukaryota; Viridiplantae; Streptophyta; Magnoliopsida; Caryophyllales; Amaranthaceae
Exons: 3
Source: RefSeq, a predicted model, not a curated record
AAGAUUACAUUGUAUUCACUACUACAAAAAGAGUGAUUUUUGGACGCAAUUGGUUCGACGCUGUUGAAGGGGCGUCAGUCUAUAAUUUUUGGUUCCGUCUUUUUGCGACGCUUUUUGUAGCGAAAAUUUUCUCGACACUUAAAACCGUCGAGAAACCCGCAAUUUUGAAUUUUUUUAAUGAAAUAAUUAGCGGGUUCGUGUUUUUUCACCCUCAGCUCAGUCGAAUUAGGUUCCCAAUUAAACGUCUUCAAAAAAAAAAAAAAAAAAAAAAAAAGGUUCCCAAUUAAACUGCCCAUAUUCUAUUCUGCUCUCCUCCAAACUUGGACUCCAUCAUCACUUUCAUCAGCGACAAAAAAAAUCUCAAAUUUUAGGUUAAUUUCUGGGUUUUGCUUGCUAAAUUUCAAGGAAUUUGGGGUUUUGUGGCUCGUCACUUUCACAAAUUUGAGAACAAGAAUCGAUCUCUUAUUGCGAGAUUGGAAAAGGCAAUGUAGGAGCAACAAGAGAAUAGGUCGGGACACUUGAGCUUCAAAACAAGCAACUAUAUUGUCUAUAACGCCAUCAUCUAUCUAUUUUGGUUUUUAGUCUUAUUUAUAUUAGUGAUGUAUUUAUUUAGGGACAAGCUAAUAUAAUAUGCGACUUUUUUUUUAUUUUAGUUAAUUGUGUUGAUGUUUUCUUUUAUUUAUAAAUUUGGUAAUUGUUAGCAACAUACUCUUAUUAUUGUUGAUUAAUUAUUGUUUUUUUUUUAAUCUGAUCUUGUUAUAUUGAAUAUUUGUUUAUUUUGAU